RNAcentral lists this transfer RNA (88 nucleotides) under Streptomyces sp. Y2F8-2. Its description in RNAcentral is "tRNA-Ala". Lineage: Bacteria; Bacillati; Actinomycetota; Actinomycetes; Kitasatosporales; Streptomycetaceae. The record is from RNAcentral.
CGGCGGCCGGUGCGGUUGCCCGGGGCCGGGGCCGGGCCCGGAAGAACCUCAGCAGCUCUUCUUGCCGGUGCUGCCCGGCGACGCCGUC